RNAcentral lists this ribosomal RNA (692 nucleotides) under Paludinella (Cavernacmella) sp. HSEKE.1. RNAcentral's name for it is "eukaryotic LSU rRNA". It matches the Rfam family "Eukaryotic large subunit ribosomal RNA", at positions 359 to 857 of the family's 3401-position model. Lineage: Eukaryota; Metazoa; Mollusca; Gastropoda; Littorinimorpha; Assimineidae. The record is from RNAcentral.
GAAAGUUGAAAAGAACUUUGAAGAGAGAGUUCAACAGUACGUGAAACCGCCUAGAGGUAAACGGGUGGAUCCGCAAAGUCGGCCCGCGGAAUUCAGCUCGGAGGCUCGGCGCCGGUUGGGGGUCGGAGAUCUGAACGGACUCCUCUCCAGCCUGUUUGUCGUCGUGUCGCCGUGUGCACUUUCCGCGGGCAGAGCGCCACGACCGGUUCUCGAGCGGUCAGAAGGCGGCGAGCAAGGUGGGUGCCCGCUUCGGCGGCCACUUCUUAUAGGCUCGCCUGUCCCGAUCCGCUUGGGGACCGAGGAGCCGCCGCCGGUGUAGGCCGCUUCGCUCUCCUGGGAGGUUCGACUGGCAGAGACUGGGCAACCGUGUCUGCCGACCGCCGCCUUGGACGGACGAGGUGGGCCCGCCGGCACAGGGUCAGUGGCACAUCGGUCGGCCCUCCACCCGACCCGUCUUGAAACACGGACCAAGGAGUCUAACAUGCGCGCAAGUCGUUGGGCAGUACGAAACCCGAAGGCGAAGUGAAAGCAAGGGCCGUCUCUGACGCGCCUAGGUGGGAUCCCGGUCCCCUCGCUUGGGGCUGGGCGCACCACCGGCCCGUCUCGUCCGCGUUGUCGGUGAGGCGGAGCAGGAGCGUGCACGUUGGGACCCGAAAGAUGGUGAACUAUGCCUGAGUAGGACGAAGCCAGAG